RNAcentral lists this unclassified non-coding RNA (253 nucleotides) under uncultured Parcubacteria group bacterium. RNAcentral's name for it is "contains 16S-23S intergenic spacer region". It matches the Rfam family "Bacterial small subunit ribosomal RNA", at positions 524 to 776 of the family's 1533-position model. The record is from RNAcentral.
UACGAGUGCCUCAAGCGUUAUCCGGAAUUAUUGGGCGUAAAGGGUGUGUAGGCGGUUUUAUUAGUCUUCUGUAAAAUUCUUCGGCUUAACCGGGGACUUGCAGAGGAAACGGUAGAACUUGAGGAUGCGAGAGGUUUGCGGAACUCAUAGUGUAGGGGUGAAAUCCGUUGAUAUUAUGGGGAACACCAAAAGCGAAGGCAGCAAACUGGCGCAUUCCUGACGCUGAAACACGAAAGCGUGGGUAGCGAAUGGG